GAAAAUGUUUCUUUGACACCAAGAUUUGACACAAAUUUGACACCGUCCAGGUGUCAAAUUGCUAUUGGGUGAUGUUUUAUUUACUGAAACAGUUUUUUUAAUAAAGUGGCAGGGGCAGAACUGGAAUAAUGGAGUGUUUGAAUAUCAUUUUGGAAUUGGCGGUUUCAUUUUCGUUUCACUCUUGCUUGAGAACAGUUUCGAACACUUUCGCCUUCUCUCCAACGUCUUCGUUCUUCGUCCACCACCAUCUCCAUUGCUGCGUUCUCUCUUCGUUCUUCGUCCACCACCAUCUCCAUUGCUGCGUUCUCUCUUCGUUCUUUGUCCACCAC
This 329-nucleotide long non-coding RNA is filed under the name Vigna radiata. RNAcentral describes it as "long non-coding RNA (VRAD_LNC010000)". Lineage: Eukaryota; Viridiplantae; Streptophyta; Magnoliopsida; Fabales; Fabaceae. The record is from RNAcentral.